UGGGGGAUAACGUAGGGAAACUUACGCUAAUACCGCAUACGACCUUCGGGUGAAAGCAGGGGACCUUCGGGCCUUGCGCGGAUAGAUGAGCCGAUGUCGGAUUAGCUAGUUGGCGGGGUAAAGGCCCACCAAGGCGACGAUCCGUAGCUGGUCUGAGAGGAUGAUCAGCCACACUGGAACUGAGACACGGUCCAGACUCCUACGGGAGGCAGCAGUGGGGAAUAUUGGACAAUGGGCGCAAGCCUGAUCCAGCCAUACCGCGUGGGUGAAGAAGGCCUUCGGGUUGUAAAGCCCUUUUGUUGGGAAAGAAAAGCAGUCGGCUAAUACCCGGUUGUUCUGACGGUACCCAAAGAAUAAGCACCGGCUAACUUCGUGCCAGCAGCCGCGGUAAUACGAAGGGUGCAAGCGUUACUCGGAAUUACUGGGCGUAAAGCGUGCGUAGGUGGUUGUUUAAGUCUGUUGUGAAAGCCCUGGGCUCAACCUGGGAAUUGCAGUGGAUACUGGGCGACUAGAGUGUGGUAGAGGGUAGUGGAAUUCCCGGUGUAGCAGUGAAAUGCGUA
Molecule: ribosomal RNA, 560 nt
Filed under: Stenotrophomonas sp. C5-5
Lineage: Bacteria; Pseudomonadati; Pseudomonadota; Gammaproteobacteria; Lysobacterales; Lysobacteraceae
Also listed under: 1 other name
Description: bacterial SSU rRNA
Rfam family: Bacterial small subunit ribosomal RNA
Source: RNAcentral